CCGUCUUGGCGGCAUCGCCGAGCCGGGAAAAAAUUUUGAUGAAAGAUGGUCUCGCGGCCUAUCAGCUAGUUGGUGAGGUAAUGGCUCACCAAGGCGACGACGGGUAGCCGGCCUGAGAGGGCGACCGGCCACACUGGGACUGAGACACGGCCCAGACUCCUACGGGAGGCAGCAGUAGGGAAUAUUGGGCAAUGGGCGCAAGCCUGACCCAGCGACGCCGCGUGAGGGAUGAAGGUCUUCGGAUUGUAAACCUCUUUCAGUAGGGAAGAAGCGAAAGUGACGGUACCUAAAGAAGAAGCACCGGCUAACUAUGUGCCAGCAGCCGCGGUAAUACAUAGGGUGCAAGCGUUGUCCGGAAUUAUUGGGCGUAAAGAGCUCGUAGGUCGUUUGUCGCGUCGAUUGUGAAAAUCUGAGGCUCAACCUCAGACCUGCAGUCGAUACGGGCAAACUAGAGUGUGGUAGGGGGAGACUGGAAUUCCUGGUGUAGCGGUGGAAUGCGCAGAUAUCAGGAGGAACACCAAUGGCGAAGGCAGGUCUCUGGGCCAUAACUGACACUGAGGAGCGAAAGUGCGGGGAGCGAACAGGAUUAGAUACCCUGGUAGUCCGCACCGUAAACGGUGGGCACUAGUUGUGGGAACCUUCCACGGUUUCCGCGACGCAGCAAACGCAUUAAGUGCCCCGCCUGGGGAGUACGAUCGCAAGAUUAAAACUCAAAGGAAUUGACGGGGCCCCGCACAAGCAGCGGAGCAUGCGGCUUAAUUCGACGCAACGCGAAGAACCUUACCAAGGCUUGACAUAUAGCGAAAAGUGGCAGAGAUGUCAUGUCCGCAAGGGCGCUAUACAGGUGGUGCAUGGUUGUCGUCAGCUCGUGUCGUGAGAUGUUGGGUUAAGUCCCGCAACGAGCGCAACCCUCGUUCUGUGUUACCAGCAUUCAGUUGGGGACUCACAGGAGACUGCCGGGGUCAACUCGGAGGAAGGUGGGGAUGACGUCAAAUCAUCAUGCCCCUUAUGUCUUGGGCUGCACGCAUGCUACAAUGGCCGGUACAAAGUGCUGCGAGAUCGUAAGAUUGAGCGAAUCACAUAAAGCCGGUCUCAGUUCGGAUUGAGGUCUGCAACUCGACCUCAUGAAGUCGGAGUUGCUAGUAAUCGUAGAUCAGCAACGCUACGGUGAAUACGUUCCCGGGGCUUGUACACACCGCCCGUCACGUCACGAAAGUCG
Molecule: ribosomal RNA, 1219 nt
Filed under: uncultured bacterium
Lineage: Bacteria
Description: bacterial SSU rRNA
Rfam family: Bacterial small subunit ribosomal RNA
Source: RNAcentral